RNAcentral lists this ribosomal RNA (610 nucleotides) under Roseivivax lentus. RNAcentral describes it as "bacterial SSU rRNA". It matches the Rfam family "Bacterial small subunit ribosomal RNA", at positions 67 to 724 of the family's 1533-position model. Lineage: Bacteria; Pseudomonadati; Pseudomonadota; Alphaproteobacteria; Rhodobacterales; Roseobacteraceae. The record is from RNAcentral.
CGAGGUCUUCGGGCCUAGCGGCGGACGGGUUAGUAACGCGUGGGAACGUGCCCUUCACUACGGAAUAGUCCCGGGAAACUGGGUUUAAUACCGUAUACGCCCUUCGGGGGAAAGAAUUUCGGUGAAGGAUCGGCCCGCGUCUGAUUAGGUAGUUGGUGGGGUAAUGGCCUACCAAGCCUACGAUCAGUAGCUGGUUUUAGAGGAUGAUCAGCAACACUGGGACUGAGACACGGCCCAGACUCCUACGGGAGGCAGCAGUGGGGAAUCUUAGACAAUGGGCGCAAGCCUGAUCUAGCCAUGCCGCGUGAGUGAUGAAGGCCUUAGGGUCGUAAAGCUCUUUCGCUGGGGAAGAUAAUGACGGUACCCAGUAAAGAAACCCCGGCUAACUCCGUGCCAGCAGCCGCGGUAAUACGGAGGGGGUUAGCGUUGUUCGGAAUUACUGGGCGUAAAGCGCGCGUAGGCGGACUGUUAAGUCGGGGGUGAAAUCCCGGGGCUCAACCCCGGAACGGCCUUCGAUACUGGCAGUCUGGAGUUCGAGAGAGGUGAGUGGAAUUCCGAGUGUAGAGGUGAAAUUCGUAGAUAUUCGGAGGAACACCAGUGGCGAAGGCGG